Molecule: non-coding RNA, 46 nt
Organism: Schistosoma margrebowiei
Lineage: Eukaryota; Metazoa; Platyhelminthes; Trematoda; Strigeidida; Schistosomatidae
Source: Rfam
GCACUGCUGAGGAGUCCCCCGAUAGGACGAAACGGCCGUCCAGUGU